RNAcentral lists this ribosomal RNA (479 nucleotides) under uncultured bacterium. RNAcentral describes it as "partial 16S ribosomal RNA". It matches the Rfam family "Bacterial small subunit ribosomal RNA", at positions 28 to 507 of the family's 1533-position model. The record is from RNAcentral.
GAUGAACGCUAGCGGGAGGCCUAACACAUGCAAGCCGAGCGGUAGAGUUUCUUCGGAAACUUGAGAGCGGCGCACGGGUGCGUAACACGUGUGCAACCUACCUUUAUCUGGGGGAUAGCCUUUCGAAAGGAAGAUUAAUACCCCAUAAUAUAAUGAUUGGCAUCAAUUAUUAUUGAAAACUCCGGUGGAUAGAGAUGGGCACGCGCAAGAUUAGAUAGUUGGUGAGGUAACGGCUCACCAAGUCAAUGAUCUUUAGGGGUCCUGAGAGGGAGAUCCCCCACACUGGUACUGAGACACGGACCAGACUCCUACGGGAGGCAGCAGUGAGGAAUAUUGGACAAUGGGUGAGAGCCUGAUCCAGCCAUCCCGCGUGAAGGAUGACGGUCCUAUGGAUUGUAAACUUCUUUUGUACAGGGAUAAACCUACCCUCGUGAGGGUAGCUGAGGGUACUGUACGAAUAAGCACCGGCUAACUCCGUG